RNAcentral lists this ribosomal RNA (2899 nucleotides) under Klebsiella pneumoniae. RNAcentral's name for it is "23S ribosomal RNA". It matches the Rfam family "Bacterial large subunit ribosomal RNA". The record is from RNAcentral. Lineage: Bacteria; Pseudomonadati; Pseudomonadota; Gammaproteobacteria; Enterobacterales; Enterobacteriaceae.
UUAAGCGACUAAGCGUACACGGUGGAUGCCCUGGCAGUCAGAGGCGAUGAAGGACGUGCUAAUCUGCGAAAAGCGUCGGUAAGGUGAUAUGAACCGUUAUAGCCGGCGAUGUCCGAAUGGGGAAACCCAGUGCAAUUCGUUGCACUAUCGUUAACUGAAUACAUAGGUUAACGAGGCGAACCGGGGGAACUGAAACAUCUAAGUACCCCGAGGAAAAGAAAUCAACCGAGAUUCCCCCAGUAGCGGCGAGCGAACGGGGAGCAGCCCAGAGUCUGAAUCAGCUUGUGUGUUAGUGGAACGGUCUGGAAAGUCCGACGGUACAGGGUGAUAGUCCCGUACACCAAAAUGCACAGGCUGUGAACUCGAAGAGUAGGGCGGGACACGUGGUAUCCUGUCUGAAUAUGGGGGGACCAUCCUCCAAGGCUAAAUACUCCUGACUGACCGAUAGUGAACCAGUACCGUGAGGGAAAGGCGAAAAGAACCCCGGCGAGGGGAGUGAAAAAGAACCUGAAACCGUGUACGUACAAGCAGUGGGAGCACCUUCGGGUGUGACUGCGUACCUUUUGUAUAAUGGGUCAGCGACUUAUAUUCUGUAGCAAGGUUAACCGUAUAGGGGAGCCGCAGGGAAACCGAGUCUUAACUGGGCGUUAAGUUGCAGGGUAUAGACCCGAAACCCGGUGAUCUAGCCAUGGGCAGGUUGAAGGUUGGGUAACACUAACUGGAGGACCGAACCGACUAAUGUUGAAAAAUUAGCGGAUGACUUGUGGCUGGGGGUGAAAGGCCAAUCAAACCGGGAGAUAGCUGGUUCUCCCCGAAAGCUAUUUAGGUAGCGCCUCGUGAAUUCAUCUUCGGGGGUAGAGCACUGUUUCGGCUAGGGGGUCAUCCCGACUUACCAACCCGAUGCAAACUACGAAUACCGAAGAAUGUUAUCACGGGAGACACACGGCGGGUGCUAACGUCCGUCGUGAAGAGGGAAACAACCCAGACCGCCAGCUAAGGUCCCAAAGUCAUGGUUAAGUGGGAAACGAUGUGGGAAGGCACAGACAGCCAGGAUGUUGGCUUAGAAGCAGCCAUCAUUUAAAGAAAGCGUAAUAGCUCACUGGUCGAGUCGGCCUGCGCGGAAGAUGUAACGGGGCUAAACCAUGCACCGAAGCUGCGGCAGCGACACUAUGUGUUGUUGGGUAGGGGAGCGUUCUGUAAGCCUGCGAAGGUGACCUGUGAGGGUUGCUGGAGGUAUCAGAAGUGCGAAUGCUGACAUAAGUAACGAUAAAGCGGGUGAAAAGCCCGCUCGCCGGAAGACCAAGGGUUCCUGUCCAACGUUAAUCGGGGCAGGGUGAGUCGACCCCUAAGGCGAGGCCGAAAGGCGUAGUCGAUGGGAAACAGGUUAAUAUUCCUGUACUUGGUGUUACUGCGAAGGGGGGACGGAGAAGGCUAUGUUAGCCGGGCGACGGUUGUCCCGGUUUAAGCAUGUAGGCUGGUUAUCCAGGCAAAUCCGGAUAAUCAAGGCUGAGGUGUGAUGACGAGGCACUACGGUGCUGAAGUAACAAAUGCCCUGCUUCCAGGAAAAGCCUCUAAGCAUCAGGUAACAUCAAAUCGUACCCCAAACCGACACAGGUGGUCAGGUAGAGAAUACCAAGGCGCUUGAGAGAACUCGGGUGAAGGAACUAGGCAAAAUGGUGCCGUAACUUCGGGAGAAGGCACGCUGGUGUGUAGGUGAAGUCCCUGCGGAUGGAGCUGAGACCAGUCGAAGAUACCAGCUGGCUGCAACUGUUUAUUAAAAACACAGCACUGUGCAAACACGAAAGUGGACGUAUACGGUGUGACGCCUGCCCGGUGCCGGAAGGUUAAUUGAUGGGGUUAUCCGUAAGGAGAAGCUCUUGAUCGAAGCCCCGGUAAACGGCGGCCGUAACUAUAACGGUCCUAAGGUAGCGAAAUUCCUUGUCGGGUAAGUUCCGACCUGCACGAAUGGCGUAAUGAUGGCCAGGCUGUCUCCACCCGAGACUCAGUGAAAUUGAACUCGCUGUGAAGAUGCAGUGUACCCGCGGCAAGACGGAAAGACCCCGUGAACCUUUACUAUAGCUUGACACUGAACAUUGAGCCUUGAUGUGUAGGAUAGGUGGGAGGCUUUGAAGCGUGGACGCCAGUCUGCGUGGAGCCAACCUUGAAAUACCACCCUUUAAUGUUUGAUGUUCUAACGUUGGCCCCUGACCGGGGUUGCGGACAGUGUCUGGUGGGUAGUUUGACUGGGGCGGUCUCCUCCCAAAGCGUAACGGAGGAGCACGAAGGUUAGCUAAUCCUGGUCGGACAUCAGGAGGUUAGUGCAAUGGCAUAAGCUAGCUUGACUGCGAGCGUGACGGCGCGAGCAGGUGCGAAAGCAGGUCAUAGUGAUCCGGUGGUUCUGAAUGGAAGGGCCAUCGCUCAACGGAUAAAAGGUACUCCGGGGAUAACAGGCUGAUACCGCCCAAGAGUUCAUAUCGACGGCGGUGUUUGGCACCUCGAUGUCGGCUCAUCACAUCCUGGGGCUGAAGUAGGUCCCAAGGGUAUGGCUGUUCGCCAUUUAAAGUGGUACGCGAGCUGGGUUUAGAACGUCGUGAGACAGUUCGGUCCCUAUCUGCCGUGGGCGCUGGAGAAUUGAGGGGGGCUGCUCCUAGUACGAGAGGACCGGAGUGGACGCAUCACUGGUGUUCGGGUUGUCAUGCCAAUGGCACUGCCCGGUAGCUAAAUGCGGAAGAGAUAAGUGCUGAAAGCAUCUAAGCACGAAACUUGCCCCGAGAUGAGUUCUCCCUGAGACUUUAAGUCUCCUGAAGGAACGUUAAAGACGAUGACGUUGAUAGGCCGGGUGUGUAAGCGCAGCGAUGCGUUGAGCUAACCGGUACUAAUGAACCGUGAGGCUUAACCU